Podarcis lilfordi (Lilford's wall lizard) is the source of this 76-nucleotide non-coding RNA. The record is from the annotation of a GenBank genome assembly. Lineage: Eukaryota; Metazoa; Chordata; Lepidosauria; Squamata; Lacertidae.
GGGAGUGUAGCUCAGUGGCAGGGCAUCUGGCCUUGCAUGCAGAUGGUCCCAGGAUCAAUCCCCAGUGGCAAUUCCA